This 337-nucleotide unclassified non-coding RNA is filed under the name soil metagenome. Its description in RNAcentral is "partial contains 5.8S ribosomal RNA, internal transcribed spacer 2, and large subunit ribosomal RNA". The stretch from base 1 to 120 matches the Rfam family "5.8S ribosomal RNA", at positions 35 to 154 of the family's 154-position model. The record is from RNAcentral.
GAUGAAGAACGCAGUGAAAUGCGAUAAGUAAUGCGAAUUGCAGAUUUCAGUGAGUCAUCGAAUCUUUGAACGCACAUUGCGCCCGCCAGUAUUCAGGCGGGCAUGCCUGUUCGAGCGUCAUUUCAACCAUCAAGCCCCCGGGCUUGCGUUGGGGCCCUGCGGCUGCCGCAGGCCCCGAAAAGCAGUGGCGGGCUCGCUGUCACACCGAGCGCAGUAGCGAUUCUCGCUCCGGGCGUCGGCGGCGGGCACCGGCCGUGAAACCCCCCCACAUCCACAAGGUUGACCUCGGAUCAGGUAGGAAUACCCGCUGAACUUAAGCAUAUCAAUAAGCGGAGGA